AUGCAUCAGGGGAAACCCCCCGACUUUAUUCCUUCUCCAGGGCCUAAGAAGACCUCGCAGAUGAGCAGUUUUCUUUCAAGAAUCAAGAUUACCAAGCACAAUGCAAGUCAAUAUACAAAUAAUUAUGUUUCAACUCAUGUAUGCCUCAAGUGUUGGUUACAUGUUGUCAUGAAAAUAGUAGCUACAUGGAUCAUCAGAUUAAGGAUGGUCCCAUCUUCCUACCUCUUUGUUUCAGUUCAACCUUCUGACCACAGGCAUUCCUACCCCACAGUAGUAGGCACUCGUGAUAUCUUCUUGCUGCAUUCCCUAUUCUACUGCAGAGAUUGA
This 327-nucleotide ribosomal RNA is filed under the name Triticum aestivum (bread wheat). Its description in RNAcentral is "partial small subunit ribosomal RNA". The record is from RNAcentral. Lineage: Eukaryota; Viridiplantae; Streptophyta; Magnoliopsida; Poales; Poaceae.